AAGGUCUUGGGGCUGAGACAUGGGCGGGGCUGGGGGCAGCCAAGUGGCCUUUGAGGAUGGGGCCAGGCACCGCACAGGGCAGGCUGGUCAUGAGGCCCCCACGAAAGAUCCCAGCAUUGGGAGCUCAGGCUUCCCCGCCCCAUGCCAGGUCUGGGGCCUGGAUGGGCUUCCAGUGGGGAGGGCCCUGUGGCAGGGGUAGGGAUCAUCACAUCUCAGACCAAGGCCAGGACAUGGCCAGAACCCCGGGAUCAGAGGGACUGAUCGGGGUCUGUCAGUGACAGGAAGCUGGGCUGCGACAGAGAGGGAGAGACAGCAAGAGACAGAGACAGAGACCGAGGGAGAGAGACAGGAGAGAGAGCAAGAAACAAAGAGGGACAGAGAGGGAGACGGCGCAAGAGAGAGACAAGAGGGAGAGAUAGAGACAGGGAUAGACAGAGACAGAGAGAGACCAAGGGAGACAGGGACACAGUGGGAGAUGGGAAGAGGGAAACAGAGUGUCUCUGAGUGCCGGGCAGAUGAGGGGAGGGUGGCCUCCCAGCCUUCAGGUCCAGAAAGCAGCUUCCAGUGGCCAUGGCUAGUGAGCUGAAGUCCAGGGUCCCGGGGCACAGCUCCCCUCCCUGCAGCGGCUGUGCAGGACCUGAGGACCUGGGGGGCCCUCCCUGCCAGGCAGCCCCUCCUGCUUCCCUUCCUUUGGAAGGAGCGGUGCUGGGUCUGAGCCCCAGCCCAUCUUCCUCACCGGGGCAGCAGGGCCAAGACCCACGAUCCCUAGGCUGAGCCAGCGGCACCUCAGGGGGCACGGCCCUUGCCCACAGAUGCCCAGGCCGGCCUGGUCUUCUCUGAAUACCCCUAAGCCUGACUCUUGGGUUGUGAAUGUCCGCGAGGUUGGGGGACCUGCUGGCCCUGUCCCCACACCGCUUUCAGCCUUUCAUCACCCAACCAAAGACAGAAGCUCAAACGUGGGCACCAAAGUCUAGCGGACGCACCGAACUCCAGGCUCCAAGCACAUCCACCCAUGGUGGCUUUAUUCAGUCACGUCCCCACG
RNAcentral lists this long non-coding RNA (1042 nucleotides) under Homo sapiens (human). Its description in RNAcentral is "HSALNT0254273". Lineage: Eukaryota; Metazoa; Chordata; Mammalia; Primates; Hominidae. The record is from RNAcentral.